This 798-nucleotide ribosomal RNA is filed under the name Ophiocordyceps annulata. RNAcentral's name for it is "eukaryotic LSU rRNA". It matches the Rfam family "Eukaryotic large subunit ribosomal RNA", at positions 94 to 903 of the family's 3401-position model. Lineage: Eukaryota; Fungi; Ascomycota; Sordariomycetes; Hypocreales; Ophiocordycipitaceae. The record is from RNAcentral.
UAAAGCGAUUAUAGCUUAGAUUUAGAAUCCGGCCCUCGUAGGGGGGCCUAAGUUAUAAUCUAUAGAGGAAGCUUCUAGCGCGGCGCCUUCUAAGUUCCCUAAAACGGGACGCCGUAGAGGGUAAGAGCCCCGUCUAAUCGGCCGCCGGCGCCUAUAUAAAGCCCCUUCGAUAAGUCGAGUAGUUUAGGAAUACUACUUAAAACGGGAGGUAUAUAUCUUCUAAAGCUAAAUACCGGCUAAAGACCGAUAGCGUAUAAGUAGAGUAAUUAAAAGAUAAAAAGCACUUUAAAAAGAGGGUUAAAUAGUAUAUAAAAUUAUUAAAAGGGAAGCGCUCGUAAUUAGAUUUAAGCGUAGUAGACCGCCUAAUGCUCUGCGUCGGUACGCCCCGCCGCGCCUAGGCUAGCAUCGGCUUACAGCGGUAGAUAAAGGCGGCAGGAACGUAGCCCCUUUAGGGGUAUUAUAGCCUACUACGUAAUACGCCGCCCGUAGGCUAAGGAACGCGCCCUCGCAGUAAGGAUACUAGCGUAAUAGUCGUUAGCGACCUAUUUUAAAAUACGGACUAAAGAGUCGUCUUCGUAUAUAAGUAUUUAGGCGCUAAACCCUUACGUAGAAUAAAAGUAAACGCUAGUAGGAUCCCCCCUGCGGGGCGUACUAUCGACCGAUCCUAAAGCCUAUCGGAUAGAUUUAAGUAGGAGUAUAUAGGGCUAGACCUAAAAGAAGGUAAACUAUACCUAUAUAGGGUAAAGCUAAAGGAAACUCUAGUAGAGGCUUAUCGUAGUUCUCAUAUAUAAAUCGAUC